This 74-nucleotide transfer RNA is filed under the name Caudoviricetes sp. RNAcentral describes it as "tRNA-Met". It matches the Rfam family "tRNA". From Rfam's summary of the family: Transfer RNA (tRNA) molecules are approximately 80 nucleotides in length. Their secondary structure includes four short double-helical elements and three loops (D, anti-codon, and T loops). The record is from RNAcentral. Lineage: Duplodnaviria; Heunggongvirae; Uroviricota; Caudoviricetes.
GGGCUCAUAGCUCAAUUGGUUAGAGCAAAACACUCAUAAUGUUGAGGUUGUCAGUUCAAGUCUGGCUGGGCCCA